Cajanus cajan (pigeon pea) is the source of this 225-nucleotide non-coding RNA. NCBI's taxonomy places the organism in Eukaryota, Viridiplantae, Streptophyta, Magnoliopsida, Fabales, Fabaceae. The record is from RefSeq and is a predicted model, not a curated record.
ACUUUGGCUUAACACUAUGUUUGAUAAUCUAUGCAGCUUCGGGAGAUUGCUCGAAACCAAGAUAAACAUUUGCAGGACAAUUUCAAACUUAUCGAUACAACAAACAUGUGGGCGAGUUUAAGAGCUAUCAAGAGAUAUGCCGACACUGAUGAAUCAAAGCACAAGAGGCACUCAGAUUUGAAGGUAUCACUCCCUUGCUGUCAUUAGUUCAUUACUCUACUGAUA